UGUCAUGGAGUUGCUCUCUUGC
RNAcentral lists this microRNA (22 nucleotides) under Petromyzon marinus (sea lamprey). RNAcentral's name for it is "pma-miR-281a". Its record names the gene pma-miR-281a. Lineage: Eukaryota; Metazoa; Chordata; Hyperoartia; Petromyzontiformes; Petromyzontidae. RNAcentral also lists the same sequence under 1 other name. The record is from miRBase by way of RNAcentral.